Molecule: non-coding RNA, 2035 nt
Organism: Pelobates cultripes (western spadefoot toad)
Lineage: Eukaryota; Metazoa; Chordata; Amphibia; Anura; Pelobatidae
Source: the annotation of a GenBank genome assembly
UUAAAAAGGAUAACCUGAGCACUAUAGCCAUUGCAACUCGUUAUGGUGGUCAUAAAGCUACACGUAAGUUGGUGUCAUCCUCAAGAUUUAAAUGAAACUGCAUUGGCACAGUAUGACACAAACCAGCCCUCCUCUUGGGCAUUCGUGGAAUUCCAAUCCACAUUACAUAUCAAGUUAAUCAAGGGCUAAUCCAAACAACCUUGAGUGUCACUGAUAGACUGUUUAAUAAACAUUUAUUAAGACCUUACUUUUGUACAAAUAUGUCUGAAAGGGGAAGAUGCACUUAGAGGCAAUGCACCAUAACCACUAAGGUGCGCAAUUGUGGAUUUUGUGCUUAGUGUGUUCCUACUAAAAAUAAUAUAAUUGUGUUUUUAAGUCACAAUUUUCCCAAUUUAUGUUAGGUUGUAUUGGUUGAAAUAUCUCAUCAUUAAAUGGAAUGGCUCUAUUGUGCAAUUAAACCAUGAGACCAUUAAGAAGGAUGACAUUUUGCAAUAGUCUUUUUUAAAAUUCGGGAAUAUUAGCGAACAUAUUGUUCUACAGCAGCUAAAAAAAAACAGAAAACAUUCAGGUAUUUAUUGAACCCAAACAUAGGUUAAUUGGUUCUAAUACAGUCUGUGUAUGUAAAGAUAAUUUUCACUUAACAUGGCAAGCAAUUUUAUUGCUUUUAGUUAGAUGAAUAAAUAAUAUGUUAAAUAAUAAGGAUAGUUAAUAUAUCAGAAAUUAGCAAAAAAAAAGGAUAUCAGGAACAAAGAAGAACUAACUACAAAACUUAUUCUACUUGGCAUGAGAUAUGGGAACACUCUUUCUUUAACAUCUGUUUGUGAUGUGUGGGAUACUGGGCAGCUCUGUUAUGCAAUUACAUAUUAAAUAAGCUGUUACAAGCCUUGCAACAAUUCUGUUCACAGUCUUCUAAGCCUCUGACCACACAUGCAUGCAGCUGCAGUAUUGAGGAGACAGUGACACGUGCACUAUUCCAGAAUACACAUGCAAUUUAAGCAGAGUUUGAAUGGCAAGAGAGAUUGCAAUUAUUCAAGUUAAAUGGAGUAUACUCAAAGUUACAGGCACGUAUGCAAAUUUCUGUAGUGUCAUGCCACUGUGUGUAAGGAGAAAAUGACUUAAUAAGUCUAGAAACAAAGCCUAUGCAAUUAUUUAGUUACACUGAUCAGCCAAAACAUUAAAACCACCUGGCUAAUAUCAUGUAGGUCUCAUGCUUCCAAAACAGCUAUGAUGCAUCAUGGCAUGGACACCACAAAACCUCUGAAUGUGUCCUAUGGUAUCUGGACAUCAAGACAUUUGAAGCAGAUCCUUUAAGUCCUGCAAGUAGUAAGGUGGGGCCUCCAUGGAUUGGAUUUGUUGUUCCAGCACAGCUCACAGAUGUUAAAUUGGAUCUGGGAAAUUUGGAGCCAAGGCAACAUCCAGAACUUUUUGUCAUGUUCCUCAAACCAUUCCGGAAAAAUGUUUGCAGUGCAGCAGCAUGCAUUAUUGCCAUUGCCAUGAAUGGGUUUACACAGUCUGCAAAAAUCUCUAGGUAGGUGGUAUAUGUCAAAGUAACAUCCACAUAAAUUCCAAGACCCAGGGUUUUCCAGCAGAACAUUUCAAAUUCCAAGACCCAGGGUUUUCCAGCAGAGCAUAACACUGAACCGCCAGCCUGUCUUCUUCCUGUAGUGCAUCCUGCUGUCAUCUCUUCCCCAGGUAAGACACACAUGCACUCAGCCAUCCAGCUAUUUUUCCUGCUUUCAACACAUGAAAUUCGAGAACUGACUGUUCACGUGCUCCUAAAAUAUCCUACUUUUUGACAGGUGCCAUUGUAAUUAUAUAAUCAAUGUAAUUCACUUCACCUGUCAGUGGUUUUAAUAUUGUGGCUGAUCAGUGUAUAUUGUUUUUAGUGGGGUUUUUUCAUAGCUCUACACCAGGGGUUCCAAGUCCAGUCUUCAAGUACCCCCUACCAGUCCAGGAUUUAAGGUUUACCCUAUUGUGUCUAAUGUGUUUUUGUUUUUUUCUUCUAAAAACACCUUAGACACAACUGGGUAAUCAC